AUGCAUCAAGCCACGGGGCCUCCCCUCUCCGAGCGCUACCACGCAGAGGCGGCUCAGUUCCGGGAGAAGUUCCACGCGAUGGACAUCAGCCGUGUGGCUGUAGAUCCAACCGACCGGCGAUGGAGCAGCUGUCAGCGUUCCUCCGCGCGGCACCAGGUUCCGUUGCACCUCCUCCAUUGUGCUCUCCCUGCCUCGCGGUCCCUACCAGAAGCCUUGCCAGCUGUAGUCUCCCAGAUCCUCCUCUCUAAGCGUCUCUACUUCCCGUGCGAUAUCACCGGCUUCACGAUCUCCACCAUGAUGGGCGUCACAAGCCCAAGGGAGCGCGUCGAGACCAUGGCGAUAAUGCUUCCCUUCCUACCGUCGUUGCCGUGUUCCGCCAAUUGCGGCAGGAAGCCAUGGCGCAGGCAGAAAAGUCGCCUGUCGAGUAGGCGGCUUCAGGUGCAACACCGGAUAAGUGACCCCUCCGUCAUAAGAUGA
RNAcentral lists this ribosomal RNA (477 nucleotides) under Triticum aestivum (bread wheat). RNAcentral's name for it is "partial small subunit ribosomal RNA". The record is from RNAcentral. Lineage: Eukaryota; Viridiplantae; Streptophyta; Magnoliopsida; Poales; Poaceae.